CUCUGCGGUGCGGCCACGGCUUCUCAGGAUCAGUCAAGCCGCAGCAUGUUAACUGCAACGAAACCGGAAAUGACUCAAAGGAUUUACAAAGUAAAAGAUAGGAACGUCAGGAUCAAGUGCCAUGAAAAUUGGGUAGCAGGCAAGGGCGGGGGCAUCAUUUCUUGAGGCCCAACCAGGCUUUGCAGACAUUACCUCAUCGGUUGGUAAGAAGCAAGAACUGGUGUGUGACCCAACUCCUGGAAAUGGGUAGGACUUCCUCCUGCUCAGGAGCUGCCCUGGAGAGAGACAUCGAGCAGGUAUGGGGAUACUGACAAGCCCCCAGCUGAGUACCUUGAUUCUGGAUUUCUCCAAGGUUGGACUUGAUCACACUAUUCCACCACAAAGUGAAAUGCAAAGGGACAACCAGCAUCAACUCUUCAGAAUACUUCAGUUGGAGGGAUAUACAUUGUGGGAGUUUAUCAACAACUUCAAAGCUGUAAAUCUGUUUGUCAUACCUUAUUUCAUAACACUUUAACAACUUUAUGCAUUGACAAUAAUUACUUUCUGAUAUUGUGAAUAUAUUAAAAGGUGUGAAUUGGCAAAUUGAACUUAUCUGCUGGGCGCACUUUUGACCUCAAAUAGCUUAAGUGAUAAUUGCUCAUUCCAAAUGUUUGUUCAGCUGAAGCCUCUUGAUGGAAAAAAACUGAUCAGAUUUCCUUUGAACAUGGCGUGGUUGUAAGUGCCAGAGGUCAGCAGAUGGCCCCUGGUGACAGAUGUUACAUGGUGCAUACAGUAAAAAUAACACAAUGUCUUAUAGGAUGUAUGUAUUGUAAGGCCAAGGAGCUUUUUGGCUUUAUUCCCAUUGUAAUACAUAUCAAAAAAGACUAUUCUUUUCACCUCUGUAGACUUCAUUUUUGCCAAAAAUAUUCUUCAUACAUCCAUUUUCUUCUGCUUUAUCCGGAGUCGGGUUGCAGAGGCAGCAGUCUAAGCAAGUAUGCCCAGACGUCCCUCUCCCCAGACACCUCCUCCAGCUCCUCCUGGGGGAUCCCGAGAUGUUCCCAGACCAACUGAGAGACAUGGUCCCUCCAGUGUGUUCUAGGUGCGGAGUAUUACAGGAAUUUUUAAAACAUUACAAGCUACUUUUGUCAAACCUCCAAUUAAAAUAUGAGAUGGCUGGAAAUUUGAGCAAUAAGCACUACCCUUUUCUUCUGAAGUAAUUUAAGCUAUUGGAGUAGUAUUAAAACGUAGAUUUGCUUCUUUUUUUUUUUUUUUUUGGGGAUGUAUUCAAACGUUUUAUUUGAGUUAAGGUAGUAAC
This is a long non-coding RNA of Girardinichthys multiradiatus, 1294 nucleotides long. RefSeq lists it as uncharacterized. The record is from RefSeq and is a predicted model, not a curated record. The transcript is spliced from 3 exons. Lineage: Eukaryota; Metazoa; Chordata; Actinopteri; Cyprinodontiformes; Goodeidae.